CCUACGGGAGGCAGCAGUGAGGAAUAUUGGUCAAUGGACGAGAGUCUGAACCAGCCAAGUAGCGUGAAGGAUGACUGCCCUAUGGGUUGUAAACUUCUUUUAUAUGGGAAUAAAACGUUCCACGUGUGGGAUUUUGUAUGUACCAUAUGAAUAAGGAUCGGCUAACUCCGUGCCAGCAGCCGCGGUAAUACGGAGGAUCCGAGCGUUAUCCGGAUUUAUUGGGUUUAAAGGGAGCGUAGGUGGAUUGUUAAGUCAGUUGUGAAAGUUUGCGGCUCAACCGUAAAAUUGCAGUUGAAACUGGCAGUCUUGAGUACAGUAGAGGUGGGCGGAAUUCGUGGUGUAGCGGUGAAAUGCUGAGAUAUCACGAAGAACUCCGAUUGCGAAGGCAGUUCACUGGACUGCAACUGACACUGAGGCUCGAAAGUGGGGGUAUCAAACAGGAUUAGAUACCCUUGUAGUC
RNAcentral lists this ribosomal RNA (460 nucleotides) under uncultured bacterium. RNAcentral describes it as "partial 16S ribosomal RNA". It matches the Rfam family "Bacterial small subunit ribosomal RNA", at positions 338 to 795 of the family's 1533-position model. The record is from RNAcentral.